Molecule: ribosomal RNA, 84 nt
Filed under: Meriones unguiculatus (Mongolian gerbil)
Lineage: Eukaryota; Metazoa; Chordata; Mammalia; Rodentia; Muridae
Source: RNAcentral
AAAAGUGCCGGACUGAUUUCUAAAUGCGCCUGAUCUUGUCUGAUCUCAGAAGCUAAGUAGGAUUGGGCCUGGUUAGUACUUGUA